GAUGAACGCUGGCGGCGUGCCUAAUACAUGCAAGUCGAGCGAACAGACGAGGAGCUUGCUCCUCUGACGUUAGCGGCGGACGGGUGAGUAACACGUGGAUAACCUACCUAUAAGACUGGGAUAACUUCGGGAAACCGGAACUAAGACCGGAUAAUAUAUUGAACCGCAUGGUUCAAUAGUGAAAGACGGUUUUGCUGUCACUUAUAGAUGGAUCCGCGCCGCAUUAGCUAGUUGGUAAGGUAACGGCUUACCAAGGCAACGAUGCGUAGCCGACCUGAGAGGGUGAUCGGCCACACUGGCACUGAGACACGGUCCCGACUCCUACGCGAGGCAGCAGUAGGGAAUCUUCAGCAAUGGGAGAAAGCCUGACGGAGCAACGCCGCGUGAGUGAUGAAGGUCUUCGGCUCGUAAAACUCUGUUAUUAGGGAAGAACAAAUGUGUAAGUAACUAUGAACGUCUUGACGGUACCUAAUCAGAAAGCCACGGCUAACUACGUG
RNAcentral lists this ribosomal RNA (497 nucleotides) under uncultured bacterium. RNAcentral's name for it is "partial 16S ribosomal RNA". It matches the Rfam family "Bacterial small subunit ribosomal RNA", at positions 28 to 507 of the family's 1533-position model. The record is from RNAcentral.